CAGCAGCCGCGGGAAUACGAAGGGUGCAAGCGUUAAUCGGAAUUACUGGGCGUAAAGCGCGCGUAGGCGGUGAGUUAAGUCUGCUGUGAAAUCCCCGGGCUCAACCUGGGAAUGGCAGUGGAUACUGGCUCGCUAGAGUGUGUCAGAGGAUGGUGGAAUUCCCGGUGUAGCGGUGAAAUGCGUAGAGAUCGGGAGGAACAUCAGUGGCGAAGGCGGCCAUCUGGGACAACACUGACGCUGAGGCACGAAAGCGUGGGGAGCAAACAGGAUUAGAUACCCCCGUAGUCCCUGUCUCUUAUAC
Molecule: ribosomal RNA, 301 nt
Filed under: uncultured bacterium
Lineage: Bacteria
Description: partial 16S ribosomal RNA
Rfam family: Bacterial small subunit ribosomal RNA
Source: RNAcentral